UACGAAGGGGGCAAGCGUUGUUCGGAAUUACUGGGCGUAAAGGGCGCGUAGGCGGCUUAUCAAGUCAGGCGUGAAAUUCCCGGGCUCAACCUGGGGGCUGCGCUUGAUACUGAUUGGCUUGAAUGCGGGAGAGGAUAGUGGAAUUCCCAGUGUAGAGGUGAAAUUCGUAGAUAUUGGGAAGAACACCGGUGGCGAAGGCGGCUCUCUGGACCGUAACUGACGCUGAGGCGCGAAAGCGUGGGGAGCAAACAGG
This 253-nucleotide ribosomal RNA is filed under the name uncultured bacterium. RNAcentral's name for it is "partial 16S ribosomal RNA". It matches the Rfam family "Bacterial small subunit ribosomal RNA", at positions 524 to 776 of the family's 1533-position model. The record is from RNAcentral.